CUGAAAAGGUGCUUCGGAGAGAAGAGGAAGGGCCAGUCAGAAAAAAAUGGAAGUUAUUGUAAUGGGAUGCUAAAGAUUGUUGAAGCCUCACCACGGUGUUUCCUGAUACAGCAUGUUAAAAAAUAAGGAUCGUUCAUCUAAAAAAAGUAACUUAGCAGUCUCUGCAGUUGCCUUACAAGACCACAUAUUACGUGAUCUUCAACUUGGACAUCUCUCAGUAGCAGAUCCUUGUAAGACAAAAGUGCAAAAGAAAGAGAACAAAUCACAAUCUCUCAGAAAAGGCUCGGCAGCCAUGAUGGACACUGGACUUAGAAAGACUGCAGAGGGGCCUAAAGGGGAAGAUCCAGAGAAGGAAUAUGUUCUAGACCCCACACCACCACCGUUAACUUUAGGUACUGCUUUCCUGCUCACACGUGUUCCAUAGGGCAUGCCUUCAGGCUUUUGAAAAGUUCACAAAUAGAAAAACCUGUCCUCUCUGUAGAAAGAACCAAUAUCAAACGAGAGUGAUACACGACGGGGCUCGUCUGUUCAGAGUAAAGUGUG
This 543-nucleotide long non-coding RNA is filed under the name Rattus norvegicus (Norway rat). Its description in RNAcentral is "long non-coding RNA NONRATT020098". The record is from RNAcentral. Lineage: Eukaryota; Metazoa; Chordata; Mammalia; Rodentia; Muridae.